AACUAAAGAAACGGGAGCUUGUAGUACAGGCUGAGAGGAAGGUGUGACCUUCGACCGAGAACCUGAUUUGGAUAAUGCCAACGUAGGGAUGCCUUGUUUUAGUAGG
Regulatory RNA element from Butyrivibrio hungatei, 106 nucleotides. It matches the Rfam family "TPP riboswitch aptamer (THI element)". From Rfam's summary of the family: Vitamin B(1) in its active form thiamin pyrophosphate (TPP) is an essential coenzyme that is synthesised by coupling of pyrimidine and thiazole moieties in bacteria. The previously detected thiamin-regulatory element, thi box was extended, resulting in a new, highly conserved RNA secondary structure, the THI element, which is widely distributed in eubacteria and also occurs in some archaea. The record is from Rfam. NCBI's taxonomy places the organism in Bacteria, Bacillati, Bacillota, Clostridia, Lachnospirales, Lachnospiraceae.